CUUGCUGCUUUACAGUAGACUUGCCGCUUUCCUAGCAUCUAAAAGGACUUAUUCGGUAUCUUACUCUUAUUUUUUUUUGCGAGAACGGUAUCUUACUCUUAUGAUCAUAGGGUCCAAUCACUAAGGCGCAUGAUGCUCUGAGACAUAGCAAACCUAAAGAUUUAAGAGGUAAUUCAUUUAUUGAAGCGAUAGUUUGGUGUCCGGACCUGAAGGACAUUCUACAAACAUGCAUAUGUAAUUUUUUUCACCAAGAUGAUGUCUCUUAUCAAAUUCCAUGUUGGUGUUCUCUGGGGACAAUAGUAAUUCAUUUAUUGAAGCGAUAGUUUGGUGUCAGGACCUGAAGGACAUUCUACAAACAUGCAUAUGUAAUUUUUCCGCCAAGAUGAUGUCUCUUACCAAAUUCCAUGUUGGUGUUCUCCAGGGACAAUAUUGAGUCUAAACAUGGUGCAUUUCAGCAAGACAUUGCAUGGGUUGUGCCAUCC
Long non-coding RNA from Lolium rigidum, 482 nucleotides. RefSeq lists it as uncharacterized. NCBI's taxonomy places the organism in Eukaryota, Viridiplantae, Streptophyta, Magnoliopsida, Poales, Poaceae. The transcript is spliced from 4 exons. The record is from RefSeq and is a predicted model, not a curated record.